Molecule: ribosomal RNA, 305 nt
Filed under: uncultured bacterium
Lineage: Bacteria
Description: bacterial SSU rRNA
Rfam family: Bacterial small subunit ribosomal RNA
Source: RNAcentral
AUGCCCUACGGGACGCAGCAGUGGGGGAUAUUGCACAAUGGGGGAAACCCUGAUGCAGCGACGCCGCGUGGGCGAAGAAGUAUUUCGGUAUGUAAAGCCCUAUCAGCAGGGAAGAAGAAAUGACGGUACCUGAGUAAGAAGCACCGGCUAAAUACGUGCCAGCGGCCACGGUAAUACGUAUGGUGCAAGCGUUAUCCGGAUUUACUGGGUGUAAAGGGAGCGCAGGCGGCACGGCAAGCGUGAUGUGAAAGCGCGCGGCCCAACCGCGGGACUGCAUUGGGUACUCCCGGGCUGAAGUGCCGGAG